GGAGUGGCGCACGGGUGAGUACGCGUGGGAACAUGCCUUUCAGUUCGGAAUACGUCGGGAACUGACGCUAAUACGAAUAUCCUCCGGGGGAAAGAUUAUCGUGAAAGAUGGCCGGUAGAUUAGCUAGUGUGAGGUAAUGGUCACCAAGUCCGAUCUUUAGCUGGUCUGAGAAGGACGACCAGCCACUGGACUGAGACACGGUCCAGACUCCUACGGGAGGCAGCAGUGGGGAUUUUGGGCCAAUGGGGGAAACCCUUGAUCCAGCCAUGCCGCGUGAGUGAUGAAGGCCUUAGGGUUGUAAAGCUCUUUUACCAGGGAAGAUGAUGACGGUACCUGGAGAAUAAGCACCGGCUAACUUCGUGCCAGCAGCCGCGGUAAUACGAAGGGUGCUAGCGUUGUUCGGAAUCACUGGGCGUAAAGCGCGCGUAGGCGGCUUUCCAAGUCAGGGGUGAAAUCCUGGGGCUUAACCCCAGAAUUGCCUUUGAAACUGGAGAGCUAGAGUACUGGAGGGGUUGGCGGAAUUCCUAAUGUAAGGUGAAAUUCGUAGAUUUAGGAGGAACACCGGUGGCGAAGGCGGCCAACUGGACAGUAACUGACGCUCUGGCGCGAAAGCGCGGGGAUCAAACAGGAUUAGAUACCCUGGUAGUCCGCGCUGUAAACGAUGGAUGUUAGCCGUUGGGGGGUUACCUCUCAGUGGCGUAG
Molecule: ribosomal RNA, 702 nt
Filed under: uncultured bacterium
Lineage: Bacteria
Description: bacterial SSU rRNA
Rfam family: Bacterial small subunit ribosomal RNA
Source: RNAcentral